GGUGAAUUGGAGGAUGAAUCACUAAGUAGGGCUUGCCACCAACAGAAUAAAAUAAAAGAUCUUCAAAAGGAGCAGAAAACUUUACAGAUUACAGGAGCUUAUUAAUCAUAAGAAGGCUGAGGACACAGAGAAGAAAGAUGAGCCCAGCAAAUAUAAUCAGCAACAGGCCCUAAUUGACCAGAGAUACUUUCAGGUGCUGUGUAGCAUCAAUUCAAUUAUCCACAAUCCAAGAGCUCCAGUAAUAAUUUAUAAACAGACCAAAGGGGGAGUCCAAAAUUUUAAUAAAGAUCUUGUUCAAGAUUGUGGAUUUGAGCAUCUUGUUCCUGUAAUAGAAAUGUGGGCAGAUCAACUGACAUCCUUAAAGGAUUUGUAUAAGUCCUUGAAAACACUAUCUGCAGAACUGGUACCUUGGCUUAAUUUGAAGAAGCAGGAUGAAAAUGAAGGUAUCAAAGUUGAAGAUUUGUUGUUUAUAGUAGAUACUAUGCUGGAAGAAGUUG
This 497-nucleotide long non-coding RNA is filed under the name Homo sapiens (human). RNAcentral's name for it is "HSALNT0061119". Lineage: Eukaryota; Metazoa; Chordata; Mammalia; Primates; Hominidae. The record is from RNAcentral.